Molecule: ribosomal RNA, 183 nt
Filed under: Cutaneotrichosporon mucoides
Lineage: Eukaryota; Fungi; Basidiomycota; Tremellomycetes; Trichosporonales; Trichosporonaceae
Description: partial 18S ribosomal RNA
Rfam family: Eukaryotic small subunit ribosomal RNA
Source: RNAcentral
UCUGCCCUUUGUACACACCGCCCGUCGCUACUACCGAUUGAAUGGCUUAGUGAGACCCUCGGAUUGGCGUUAAGAAGCCGGCAACGGCAUCUUUUGGCCGAGAAGUUGGUCAAACUUGGUCAUUUAGAGGAAGUAAAAGUCGUAACAAGGUUUCCGUAGUAGUGACCUGCGGCAGGAUCAUUA